GGCCACACCAGGUGGUGGGCUUUGGGGCUGUCAGCUUCGUUCUGCUUUACUCUCCUUUCUCUUCUUAGGCACAUCCUGGGGAUCUUACGUCCAGACAGACCUAUAAGGCUGGGUUCUCAGAAGAUUACACGGCACUGAUCUCCCAGAAUGUUCUGGAAGGAGAGAAGCUGCUCAAAGGUAAGCAAUCCGCUGCUUUGCUGGGCCACGUAUCCCUGUCCAUGUGAGUUUCGCCCGCGAGAACAUGAUCUCUACACCGCAGCUUCUCUGCGGACACUAUGGGACGAUCCGGUGUAAAGGAGGACAGUCUUGCGACAAGACACUAACUGCUCAGGCUCAACUCAGCGGGGGAUGUUCCAAACUUUAUGCAAAGGGCAGCUCCACAGCAAGGAGCCACCUGGCCCCAAACGUCAGCGAUGCCUGUGGCUCCCAGUAUCACCGUUUGGACUCCAAUCAGCAGGAACAUGACGCAAAGCCGAGGGAGUGA
This 484-nucleotide long non-coding RNA is filed under the name Dasypus novemcinctus (nine-banded armadillo). Its description in RNAcentral is "lncRNA (ENSDNOG00000050515.1)". The record is from RNAcentral. Lineage: Eukaryota; Metazoa; Chordata; Mammalia; Cingulata; Dasypodidae.